This 843-nucleotide long non-coding RNA is filed under the name Nicotiana benthamiana. RNAcentral's name for it is "long non-coding RNA (NBEN_LNC026608)". The record is from RNAcentral. Lineage: Eukaryota; Viridiplantae; Streptophyta; Magnoliopsida; Solanales; Solanaceae.
CGCAACUUUCAACCGAAAAAAACCCCUCCCCAUCGUCCUCAUCUUCUUCAAACUUGAGCCACAAUCAACCAUUUUCUUUGCAAUGGAGACCUACGUCAUCAGCGAAAAUACAAAGAAAAAAAGAAGCCACUAACACAAUUUCAAAAGGCUUCAACAUUUAUGCACUCAUUGGCAAAGCUGCUGCCAGGAAAUUCCUAAAAAGAAAACAACGACAUCCCCAAUUCCCCGAAAAAUCAUCACUCCUUAAGAGACCUCAUCCACCUCCAAAAUCCCCAACCUAGCGCCUUCCCCCUAUUUUAGGAUUUCUUCUUCUUGUGCUCAACUUAAAAAAGAGACGCAUAUACACAGAACAGAAACGAGGAGUCGCUGCUCUUCUUUUUCCUCCGCCAAAAAACACUGUCAUUUUAGCUCAAAAAAAACCAUUUAAGUAGCCCCUAAUGAGCUGAAAUUCUAGCUCAAAAUCAGCUGAAAAUGCUACCCCAAAACUCAGCUGAAAAUCUCCCAAAAAUCAGCCCUAAUAACCAGUAAAAGCAGCCACAAAUAGCUCUUUCAGCCUGUUCGUUGUCGAGUUUUUUUGGCAAACUUGAAGUCUGUUGAGUUCCGGAGAGGUCUUCAUGUUCAGUCAUUGGCGUCGGUGUAAGUUUGAUAUUACGCAUUUCUAUUUUUCUUUUAAGUUUGCUUCUGCAGCUUUGUAGUUAGUCGUUUCUCUUUCAAUUAUUGCCUCUGUAGCUUUGCAAUGGUUAUUCUGUUGUUAAUAUUACCUAGUCUUGCUUCUUAGCAAUUAAUAGUUCGUUUUUCCUCUUUAAUGCAUGUGUCUAAUUAUUUUUCUAGUUUUCAUUGUUU